UCUAUUAUAGAUGCAACAUUUCAAUUAAUUUUUUUUCUGUUUAGAUUAGCGAAGGUAGGCCCAUCUAGGUAGUGGGCCAAGCAACCUUAUGAGCCUUUUAUGUAACUGUACUUUCCAGGCCCUAAACACUUCCUAAGAAGCACUCACAAAAAUAAGCCCAUAUAUUAGGGAAAAAAUCAUAUUACAAAUGGGAGAAAAUUCAAUUAUUAUCUACAACUAAAUGGGAUGGAGGGUGCUGUUGGCGAGGCCCGGGUACUGCUGAGGAGACAAGGUGGUGUAACGGCGGCUCAGAUGGGAGAACUCCUCGUCGUCCUCAAUACUCGUCGUCCACAACCCGGUGGCGCCAGCAACCAUGCAGGGGUCGCCAGCUAGCUGCAGAGAAGAACCUCGAUGAGCUGCUUACUCUAGCGGCAAGGGUGGGAUACAGAAAGAAAUAACAGGUUGGGUCGGGUAUAACGGGUCGGUUUAGGAGGGUAUGGAUCUCUGUUCUGGAUUUGAGCUGGUCUGUCGGCCGGUCCAUCAUCUAAAAAAAUAAAUAUAAUUGUACUAUCAGUACAUUAAAAUUAAACUCUUUAUCUCAAACUAAUUAUUAUGAGAGCUGAUACACUCAAGUCAAAGAAUAUUCAAAGAGAUAAGGUGAAAACUAGGGGUUGAGUUCAUACCUUGGAGGAGCUAAGAUCUCUCUAUUUACGAAAACUUUUGGAGUUUGUUAGAAUCCAUUGAUUUGAGGAAUUGUUGUGAUUUGCUUCAUCUCAAUUUAUGGAACAUCGUUAAAUAACGUAUCAAUUCAAAUCUCGAAUUAUGGUUGGCCUCCGUUUGGGCUCGAUUGUCGUGGAGAUGGGUCAGAUCUGAGGAUCGUUGGGUGUGGCCAGUAGGCAGAUCGGGAACAAAAAUUAACUAAUAAAAAUAAAAAAAAAAAUUAUUUCUUUAUGGUUUUAAUUUGAAUCUUAAUUUUAAAUUGUGCCUAGGCUGAAAAAUCCCUUGGAUUGUUAUGGUUGGAUGGCAUGAAAAGUGGACUUGUAGUGUAUCAUGUUCGGAUGCUGUUCUGUUUUUGCGUGUUUCUCUGAAUCAUAUUUAGGGUUUUAAAUUGUUAAAACCAAGGGAAACCUUUUUAAUUGAUGGGAGUAAAGAAUGCUAACAAUUCUUAGCCUCUUCACUAUUGAAUAUGUGGCCAAAUUCGGCUAAUAGUUCUUAAGGUGAAUGAAUAAGUCCUCCUAGUAAUAUUUGAUUGAAGGAUUCAGCUCAUAUUCAGGAAAAACUGUGUCAGUGGAUCUGGAGACAACAAGAGGGAGGAUCAAGGGUUGCAACAGUUGAUAUACUUAACUACAUUCAGAAUGAGCUUGAUUACUCUGGAGAGGAGCCAUCUGUGUCGCCCAGAGCACCACCACAACACCAACAAUCUCAACAUCUUCAGUUACUUUGUUACAAACUUUAAUUUGUCCAGAGAUUUUUGCAAGAUAAUAUUUCAUUCUAUAUAUUCUCCCUCUAUUAUAAGUAUUCAAGUAGAAAAUACAUGUAUAUUGAGCCUUGUUAUUUUUGUCAUACUUCAUUGUAAAAUAUUGUCAAGCUGGAUCAGAUUUAUCUCUGGAUGAACCAGUUUGAGAAUCUUGAAUAGCAUUAUCUUGUGGCUGUGAGUUACUUUGUGAUUGUUCCAUCUGUAACAAUCAGAAAAUCAUAGACCAGAAGAUAAUUUCAGAAAACCAUGAACAAAUAAGAUAUUCAGCAACCAAAAUCAUGAAGCAACAAACAAAUUAAUCAUGAACAAAUAACCUCAGAAAAUCAAAAGCCAGAAUCAUGAAGCAGCAACCAAAUUCAUCAUGAACAAAUAACCCCAG
Non-coding RNA from Arachis ipaensis, 1835 nucleotides. The record is from RefSeq and is a predicted model, not a curated record. Lineage: Eukaryota; Viridiplantae; Streptophyta; Magnoliopsida; Fabales; Fabaceae.